CUGCAGCCCGAGUGGUGAUCGAUUUUAUUGAGCCUAAAGCGUCCGUAGCCGGACUAGUAAACCCUUGGGUAAAUUGGGCAGCUUAACUGUCCAAAUUCCGAGGGGACUGCUAGUCUUGGGACCGGGAGAGGUCAGAGGUACUCAAGGGGUAGGGGCUAAAUCCUGUAAUCCUUUGGGGACCACCAGUGGCGAAGGCGUCUGACUAGAACGGCUCCGACGGUAAGGGACGAAACCCUGGGGCGCGAACCGGAUUAGUUACCCGAGUAGUCC
This 270-nucleotide ribosomal RNA is filed under the name uncultured archaeon. RNAcentral's name for it is "partial 16S ribosomal RNA". It matches the Rfam family "Archaeal small subunit ribosomal RNA", at positions 477 to 747 of the family's 1478-position model. The record is from RNAcentral.